AGGACGAACGCUGGCGGCGUGCUUAACACAUGCAAGUCGAACGAUGAAACUCUUCGGAGUGGAUUAGUGGCGAACGGGUGAGUAACACGUGGGCAAUCUGCCCUGUACUUUGGGAUAAGCCUUGGAAACGGGGUCUAAUACCGGAUAUCACUUUCCGCCGCAUGGUGGGGGGUUGAAAGUUCUGGCGGUACAGGAUGAGCCCGCGGCCUAUCAGCUUGUUGGUGGGGUAAUGGCCUACCAAGGCGACGACGGGUAGCCGGCCUGAGAGGGUGACCGGCCACACUGGGACUGAGACACGGCCCAGACUCCUACGGGAGGCAGCAGUGGGGAAUAUUGCACAAUGGGCGAAAGCCUGAUGCAGCGACGCCGCGUGAGGGAUGACGGCCUUCGGGUUGUAACCUCUUCGCCAGGGACGAAGCGCAAGUGACGGUACCUGGAUAAGAAGCACCGGCUAACUACGCGCCAGCAGCCGC
RNAcentral lists this ribosomal RNA (473 nucleotides) under uncultured bacterium. Its description in RNAcentral is "SSU rRNA". It matches the Rfam family "Bacterial small subunit ribosomal RNA", at positions 26 to 518 of the family's 1533-position model. The record is from RNAcentral.